UCUCUCUCUCUCUCUCUCUCUCGCGAUUGCGAGAAAACAAAGAAUUGUUUUUGGAAUCGUCUGGGUGUGGAGGAAGAGGAGAUUGCUGUCAGCUCUGAUUGCAUGUAGGAGAGGUGAUUCGAUUAUCAUCAUCUCCUCAUUCCGAGGGUCGUCAUGAUGAAACCAUAACAAUUCGGUGGUCACCAUCUGCGAAUUCAGUGAACCAAAUCCACAACAACUUUCAGAUUUUUUCAAGGAUUCGUGUGUGAGCUUGCUGAAAUCAUAAGCACCCAAAGAAGGCAAAUCGCUUAUGGCAGAGGAAGAAAGGUCCCGUCGUCUCUCUCGUGUCAAUGGUGCAAUGAUGGGUCUUAUGUUACACACUAAAGCAAAAAGUUUAAUAGAAAUGGAAAUGUAUUCUGAUGCAGUUGAAGUGCUUGCUAUGGCAGAGUCGACAGGAGAAAGAAGCAGAGAAUGAGGGUGAUUAGCCCUGGGCGUUCGGAUUUUCGGAUCGGAUCGGAUCGGUUUUUUUGGAUUUUGGACUUUUCGGAUUGACAUAUAUAGAAUCCAUUUAGAAUCCGACUCUGAAUCGGAUCAGAUCGGUUCGGAUUCGUUCGGAUUCGGAUCGGUUUUCAAUUUUUUUCUAAAAUCCAAACUGAAACCGAAUUGGUUAUAUAUAUGAUUUUGGAAAGUAAAAACAGAAAGUUUGAAUAGCUCAGACGGCUAGGGCGUGUGUUUCAUUACCUCAAUGCCUCCGGUUCGAAUCCCCAGCAUGGGCUUAGGGUGAUGGUUCGAGGAGAGGGCUUUGGUUCCCUGAAAAGUCUCCACGAACAGAGCUCUUGCACUGUUUGUGCGAUGGCUUUCACAAGGCAUGCAUAGAGCAGCAGUACCACCACCUCGACCUCAUAGACCUGCUGCGAGAGCUGAUAAUGAUCCCGCAGCUGCUAUGCCAA
This is a non-coding RNA of Camelina sativa (false flax), 929 nucleotides long. The record is from RefSeq and is a predicted model, not a curated record. Lineage: Eukaryota; Viridiplantae; Streptophyta; Magnoliopsida; Brassicales; Brassicaceae.